RNAcentral lists this ribosomal RNA (1529 nucleotides) under marine metagenome. RNAcentral's name for it is "bacterial LSU rRNA". It matches the Rfam family "Bacterial large subunit ribosomal RNA", at positions 797 to 2335 of the family's 2925-position model. The record is from RNAcentral.
UCUGGUGAUGAGUUGUGGGUAGGAGUGAAAGGCUAAUCAAACCUGGAAAUAGCUGGUUCUCCCCGAAAUGCAUUGAGGUGCAGCCUCGGGAGUUCACCGUCGGGGGUAGAGCACUGACAAGGCUAGGGUCCGCGAGGAUACCAACCCUUAUCAAACUCCGAAUUCCGAUGAGUGCAUCCCGGGAGUGAGACGGCGGGAGAUAAGUUUCGUCGUCGAGAGGGAAAGAGCCCAGACUACCGGCUAAGGUCCCGAAGUAAGUGCUAAGUGGUCAAGGAAGUGGAUGAUCACAGACAACCAGGAGGUUGGCUUAGAAGCAGCCACCCUUUAAAGAAAGCGUAAUAGCUCACUGGUCGAGAUUGUCUGCACCGUAAAUAUAACGGGGCUCAAGCACUUCGCCGAAGCCGUAGACUCGUAAGAGUGGUAGGGGAGCGUUCCAGAUGCAGCGAAGCUGUCUCGUAAGAGGUGGUGGAGCGUCUGGAAGUGAGAAUGCUGACGUGAGUAGCGAUAAACAGGGUGAAAAACCCUGUCGCCGUAAACCCAAGGGUUCCUGUCCAAGGAUCAUCCGGGCAGGGUUAGUCGGCCCCUAAGGCGAACCCGAAAGGGGCAGCCGAUGGGAAACGGGCGAACAUUCCCGUACCACCGACAUGGAGCAGAGCAGGGACGGAGAAGGGUAGGUGAGCUGGUGAUUGGAUUCCAGUGCAAGCGAGUAGGUAGUGGGUGUAGGAAGAAAACGCACCCGCAAAGCCGAGACGUGAUGCCGAGGCCCUCGAGGCUGAAGUCAUUGAUCCCACGCUUCCAAGAAAAGCUGCGUACUGCGUUGAAAUGUUGGUGACCGUACCCCAAACCGACUCAGGUGGGUGGGUGGAGAACACCAAGGCGCUUGAGAGAACUCGGGUUAAGGAACUAGGCAAAUUAACACCGUAACUUCGGGAUAAGGUGUGCCAUCGGUACGUGAAGGGCCUGCGCCCGGAGCGGAGGGUGGUUGCAACAAAGAGGCGGUAGCGACUGUUUACCAAAAACACAGGACUCUGCGAAGCCGCAAGGCGAUGUAUAGGGUCUGACGCCUGCCCGGUGCCGGAAGGUUAAGAGGAGCUGUCAGGGCAACCAAAGCAGUGAAUCGAAGCCCCGGUAAACGGCGGCCGUAACUAUAACGGUCCUAAGGUAGCGAAAUUCCUUGUCGGGUAAGUUCCGACCUGCACGAAUGGCGUAACGACUUCCGCGCUGUCUCGACCCGGGACUCAGCGAAAUCGACGUUGGGGUGAAGAUGCCCCAUACCCGCGGAAAGACGGAAAGACCCUGUGAACCUUUACUCUAACUUGGCAGUGACAUUCGGUUCAGCUUGUGUAGGAUAGGUGGGAGACUGGGAAACCCGCGCGCCAGCGUGGGUGGAGUCGUCGUUGAAAUACCACCCUGGUUGUUCUGGCUGUCUAACUCCUUCGGGAGGACACUGUCUGGUGGGGAGUUUGACUGGGGCGGUCGCCUCCCAAACGGUAACGGAGGCGCGCAAAGGUUCCCUCAGCCUGGAUGGA